Molecule: long non-coding RNA, 348 nt
Filed under: Elaeis guineensis (African oil palm)
Lineage: Eukaryota; Viridiplantae; Streptophyta; Magnoliopsida; Arecales; Arecaceae
Description: long non-coding RNA (EGUI_LNC006419)
Source: RNAcentral
GGAGAGAGGGGCACGGAAGCAGGGAAGUUCCACAUCCUUCUCGAUUUUUUUUUCCCUCUCAAGUGGGGUGCACACAGAUGCCCCUGCGAGAAGCCACGGGUCUAUGGUCCCACGUUCCAUAUGGCAUAGGUGGGAAAAAGACCUCUUAGGCCAGGCCUCACACUCGAUAUAUGCCAAACUGACUGCCUAUCGAUACAGUAAUAGGGUGGCACCGAUAAGAGGCUCCAUACCAACAUGGCAAACCUUAGUUCUAGGGUUGUCUAUAAGUUUAAAGAUCUAAAACCAAAAUAUUAUAAAAAUAAAAAAUAUACUAAAACCUACGAAACAUUGAAAGAAAAAAAAUGCCAG